AACCAUUCUCACCUGCGGCUAGACCUGCGGAAGGAUCAUUAAUAAAUGUUACUUCGGUAACUUAAUUAAUCCCUAACACCUGUGCAUCUUGUCGCUUCGGCGUCAUUUUAUAAACAUCAGUGUAAUGAAUGUAACGUAUUAUAACAAAUACAACUUUCAACAACGGAUCU
RNAcentral lists this unclassified non-coding RNA (170 nucleotides) under soil metagenome. RNAcentral's name for it is "partial contains 5.8S ribosomal RNA, internal transcribed spacer 2, and large subunit ribosomal RNA". The record is from RNAcentral.